GAUGAACGCUGGCGGCGUGCCUAACACAUGCAAGUCGAACGGAGAUUACGGACGGAAGUUUUCGGAUGGAAGACUGUAAUUCUUAGUGGCGGACGGGUGAGUAACGCGUGGGCAACCUGCCCUAUACAGGGGGAUAGCAGCUGGAAACGGCUGGUAAGACAGCAUAAGUCGGCGAGACCGCAUGGUUUUGCCGGGAAAUGAGCAAUCAGGUAUAGGAUGGGCCCGCGUCCGAUUAGCCAGUUGGCAGGGUAAAAGCCUACCAAAGCAACGAUCGGUAGCCGGACUGAGAGGUCGGACGGCCACAUUGGGACUGAGACACGGCCCAAACUCCUACGGGAGGCAGCAGUGGGGGAUAUUGCACAAUGGAGGAAACUCUGAUGCAGCGACGCCGCGUGAGUGAAGAAGUAUUUCGGUAUGUAAAGCUCUAUCAGCAGGGAAGAUGAUGACGGUACCUGACUAAGAAGCCCCGGCUAACUACGUG
RNAcentral lists this ribosomal RNA (481 nucleotides) under uncultured bacterium. Its description in RNAcentral is "partial 16S ribosomal RNA". It matches the Rfam family "Bacterial small subunit ribosomal RNA", at positions 28 to 507 of the family's 1533-position model. The record is from RNAcentral.